This 428-nucleotide ribosomal RNA is filed under the name uncultured bacterium. RNAcentral's name for it is "bacterial SSU rRNA". It matches the Rfam family "Bacterial small subunit ribosomal RNA", at positions 958 to 1397 of the family's 1533-position model. The record is from RNAcentral.
AACGCGAAGAACCUUACCUGGGCUUGACAUGCACGUGCAACGCCAUGAAAGUGGUGCCCCCCGUUAGGGGCGCGUGCACAGGUGCUGCAUGGCUGUCGUCAGCUCGUGUCGUGAGAUGUUGGGUUAAGUCCCGCAACGAGCGCAACCCUUGUUGGCAGUUAAAUGUUCUCUGCCGAGACUGCCGGGAGAAACUCGGAGGAAGGUGAGGAUGACGUCAAGUCAGCACGGCCCUUACGUCCAGGGCUACACACACGCUACAAUGGCCGGUACAACGGGCUGCGAAGCCGCGAGGCGGAGCCAAUCCCAUCAAAGCCGGUCUCAGUUCGGAUUGCAGGCUGCAACUCGCCUGCAUGAAGUCGGAGUUGCUAGUAAUCGCGGGUCAGCACACCGCGAUGAAUAUGUUCCCGGGCCUUGUACACACCGAUAGC